UCUAACGGUCAUGCCACCCUGAACACGCCUGAUCUCGUCUGAUCUUGGAAGCUGAGCAGGGGCGGGCCUGGUUAAUACUUGGAUGGGAGACCACCUAGGAAUACCAGGUGCUGUAGGUU
This 119-nucleotide ribosomal RNA is filed under the name Pteropus alecto (black flying fox). RNAcentral also lists the same sequence under 1 other name. Lineage: Eukaryota; Metazoa; Chordata; Mammalia; Chiroptera; Pteropodidae. The record is from RNAcentral.